This 974-nucleotide ribosomal RNA is filed under the name uncultured marine bacterium. RNAcentral's name for it is "bacterial SSU rRNA". It matches the Rfam family "Bacterial small subunit ribosomal RNA", at positions 64 to 1051 of the family's 1533-position model. The record is from RNAcentral.
GAGCUUUUCAGUAGUUUACUACAGAAAAUGACUGAGCGGCGAACGGGUGAGUAACGCGUGAGCAAUCUACCUUAGUUACUGGGAUAGCCCGAGGAAACUCGGAUUAAUACCGGAUAUUCUUAUUUUUUCACAUGAAGUUUUAAGGAAAGGUCAGCCGAACUAAGAUGAGCUCGCGUUCUAUCAGCUAGUUGGUGGGGUAAAAGCCUACCAAGGCUACGACGGAUAGCUGGUCUGAGAGGACGAUCAGCCACACUGGGACUGAGACACGGCCCAGACUCCCACGGGAGGCUGCAGCAGGGAAUAUUGCGCAAUGAGCGAAAGCUUGACGCAGCGACACCGCGUGUGGGAUGACGGUUCUAGGAUUGUAAACCACUUUCAGGAGGGAAGAAAAUGACGGUACCUCCACAAGAAGACCCGGCCAACUACGUGCCAGCAGCCGUGGUAAUACGUAGGGGUCAAGCGUUGUCCGGAUUUAUUGGGCGUAAAGAGCUCGUAGGCGGUUCAACAAGUCGGUCGUAAAAGUUUAGGGCUCAACCCUAAAAUGUCGAUCGAUACUGUUGUGACUAGGAUACGGUAGAGGUGAAUGGAAUUCCGAGUGUAGCGGUGAAAUGCGUAGAUAUUCGGAGGAACACCAAUUGCGAAGGCAGUUCACUGGACCGUGAUCGACGCUGAGGAGCGAAAGCUAGGGGAGCAAACAGGAUUAGAUACCCUGGUAGUCCUAGCUGUAAACGAUGGAUACUAGAUGUAGGAACUGGAUUGACGGUUUCUGUAUCGUAGCUAACGCGUUAAGUAUCCCGCCUGGGGAGUACGGUCGCAAGACUAAAACUCAAAGGAAUUGACGGGACCCCGCACAAGCGGCGGAGCAUGCGGCUUAAUUCGAUGAUACCCGUAGAACCUUACCUGGACUUGACAUAUAGGGAAAAGCUAAAGAAAUUUAGUGUGCGUAAGUGCCCUAUACAGGUGGUGCAUGGCUG